This 914-nucleotide long non-coding RNA is filed under the name Gopherus evgoodei (Goodes thornscrub tortoise). RNAcentral's name for it is "lncRNA (ENSGEVG00005000995.1)". Lineage: Eukaryota; Metazoa; Chordata; Testudines; Testudinidae. The record is from RNAcentral.
GGACUGAGGGCAGCAGCCGGGUAGGGUGAGCGGCGGAUGGGGACGGGGUUGGGGUGAGGCGUGCAGCGUGCGCGUGUCUAUCUGGAGCUAGGGAGCGAGGUAGGCGGCUCAAUGUGACGUCAUUCCCCUGUCCCGGGCCCGGCGCGCCCGUGUGGGUGGGUGCGAGCGGGCCGGAAGGGGGGUGGGGGACAGGAGGAAGAGGCGGUCGCAGGGCGUUGAACUGGAUCUGAAAGGACGAACAGAUGGGUUAUGAAAGCACUAAUACGUCUUCAAUAAACACAUGUCUGUUACUAGCAAACCUGAUAAAAAUUCUGCAAAACUUGUAUUAGCCACCACCUCUUGGCGCUCUUCACUUCAGCGGGAAGUUUAUUAGCUCACGGUGCCAAUUCUGUUGAAACAGUCCUGUGUCUACACACACACUGGUGGAGGUUGGAAGAAUUCUGCUUUUUUAGACAUUGUGUUCCGUCCUCUCUGAAUGAUUUCUCUUCACCACUAAUACACUCCCUAACGUCUGAUUUACUUGUGCUCCCAUAAACCAAAUCAGAGUAGGAAGUAGCAAUAAUUUCCAAGCCUUCCAUGUAAUAGUAAAAAAAAAAAAAAAAACAACUUUUAUUUUUGUUUCAUAUGUUUUUGUUUCAUUAGUUGCACAAGUAUUCACUGCCUCAUUGAAAAGCAUUGCUGUGUUGCCUUUAAAUAAUAUUUAAUUUAAUACAAAUAUAGUAAUAAAAUAAAAUCUACACUAUUCUUAUUAUAUUUGAUUUUUAUGUUUAAAAGUUUUUUUUUUUUUAAAUUCCCGUGUACAAUGGCAUCUGUACCAGCACAGCAGAGGAAUAUUUUAUCAUUUUUUUUAAAGAAAGGCCCCUGACCAUGAAAACUGUGACAAUAAAGAACUAUCCUUGAAAAUGAACUGUGCA